Megalops atlanticus (tarpon) is the source of this 72-nucleotide non-coding RNA. The record is from the annotation of a GenBank genome assembly. Lineage: Eukaryota; Metazoa; Chordata; Actinopteri; Elopiformes; Megalopidae.
GCUGUGUAGCGCAGAGGUUAAGGUGCUGGGCUCAUAACCCAAGGGUUGCUGGUUCGAUUCCACUACGGGGCA